Molecule: long non-coding RNA, 538 nt
Organism: Lemur catta (Ring-tailed lemur)
Lineage: Eukaryota; Metazoa; Chordata; Mammalia; Primates; Lemuridae
Exons: 4
Source: RefSeq, a predicted model, not a curated record
UCCGCCCCGACGGAAGCGCCGGUAACGGAACCGGAAGUCGACGGUGGGAUCGGGUCCGUGGUGUUCGCCCCUUUCUCAAAACGCCUCAGCCUACUCCUUUUCUAGGCCUUCCCCGUCCCAGAAAGUGCCAGGGGUCCUUCACUAGCCCCUGUCACUCCGCCACCAAGUGUUCUGUGCGCAGACUCAGGACGGAGGGGGACGCUGCGCAGACAGGAAUCAGGGUAAACCUGAAGAACCCCUUGCUCCAGUGUGAACACACCUACGAUGUUCAUUGCAGCGUUGUUUGUGAUCAAAAAAAACUGGAAAGAACCUGGAUGUCCAUUAACAGAAACACAUGAAGAAACAGUUGUUGAACAGUCAGAAGUUUUUCAAUUGUUUGGGAUGAGUACAAUGAAAGAUGCAAACCAAGUACGUCAGUUUAAAUGUUUCCUACCAGAUAUCAAAUGACUACCAAACAGAAUUAAAUAACAUAUCUGAAAAGUGAAAUCCAGUUUCCUGAAUCCUGAAACACAGCCAAGUGAGGUUCCUAGAGUCUGUG